Molecule: long non-coding RNA, 582 nt
Filed under: Homo sapiens (human)
Lineage: Eukaryota; Metazoa; Chordata; Mammalia; Primates; Hominidae
Description: non-protein coding lnc-GRAMD2B-15:1
Source: RNAcentral
AACCUUUUUCAGGAAGAAUUGAUCAUGUGUUUUCUUUUUUUCUUUUAAUAUUUUUAAUUUUUGUGGGUACAUAGUAGAUGUAUAUAUUUAUGGGGUACAUGAAAUAUUUUGAUACAGUCAUGCAAUGUGAAAUAAGCACAUCAUGGAGAAUGGGGCAUCUAUCCCCUCAAGCAUUUAUCCUUUGUAUUACAAACAAUCCAAUUACACUCUUUUAGUUAUUAUUGACUAUAGUCACCCAGUGGAAUCAUCUGUCUUUUUACAGUACUUUGUCGAUAUUUAGUUGUAUAUAUGGUUUUCUUUUUAAAUUGUGCAUUCCUUAGAGGCAGUGAUGGUGCCAUCACAGUUGGGAAUAAAAACGUCAUACCCAAAGAAAUUAUUAUAUCAUGCAUAGAGUGUAUAUUAUAUAAAGUAUAAAGUAUAUCCACAAAAUCCCCUGGAAAUACAGGAGUACCUGAAACAAUUGCCAUAUGUCUAUUAUGUGCUAGUUUACCACACUAUAUUUAGUGCAUAGCAGGUGUGCAAUACCGAUUUGUUGAAACUGUUUUGAAGAAUUAAGUCCAAAAAUUGACUACAAAAAAUGCU